AGAGUUUGAUCCUGGCUCAGGAUGAACGCUGGCGGCGUGCUUAACACAUGCAAGUCGAACGAUUAACCCGCCCUCGGGCGGUUAUAGAGUGGCGAACGGGUGAGUAACACGUGACCAACCUGCCCCCUUCACCGGGAUAACCCAGGGAAACCUGCGCUAAUACCGGAUACUCCGGGACCCUCGCAUGGGGGUCCCGGGAAAGCCCAGGCGGAAGGGGAUGGGGUCGCGGCCCAUUAGGUAGACGGCGGGGUAACGGCCCACCGUGCCCGCGAUGGGUAGCCGGGUUGAGAGACCGAUCGGCCACAUUGGGACUGAGAUACGGCCCAGACUCCUACGGGAGGCAGCAGUGGGGAAUUUUGCGCAAUGGGGGAAACCCUGACGCAGCAACGCCGCGUGCGGGACGACGGCCUUCGGGUUGUAAACCGCUUUCAGCAGGGAAUAAUUUUGAAGGUACCUGCAGAAGAAGCUCCGGCUAACUACGUGCCAGCAGCCGCGGUAAUACGUAGGGAGCGAGCGUUAUCCGGAAUCAUUGGGCGUAAAGCGCGCGUAGGCGGCCCGUCAAGCGGGGUUUCAAAUCCAGGGGCUCAACCUCUGGCCGGACCCCGAACUGGCGGGCUCGAGUGCGGUAGAGGAAGGUGGAAUUCCCAGUGUAGCGGUGAAAUGCGCAGAUAUUGGGAAGAACACCGAUGGCGAAGGCAGCCUUCUGGGCCGCCACUGACGCUGAGGCGCGAAAGCUAGGGGAGCGAACAGGAUUAGAUACCCUGGUAGUCCUAGCCGUAAACGAUGGGCACUAGGUGUGGGGGGACAUUCCCUCCGUGCCGCAGCAAACGCAUUAAGUGCCCCGCCUGGGGAGUACGGCCGCAAGGCUAAAACUCAAAG
This 879-nucleotide ribosomal RNA is filed under the name human gut metagenome. RNAcentral describes it as "bacterial SSU rRNA". It matches the Rfam family "Bacterial small subunit ribosomal RNA", at positions 8 to 906 of the family's 1533-position model. The record is from RNAcentral.